Molecule: long non-coding RNA, 1066 nt
Organism: Apodemus sylvaticus (European woodmouse)
Lineage: Eukaryota; Metazoa; Chordata; Mammalia; Rodentia; Muridae
Exons: 3
Source: RefSeq, a predicted model, not a curated record
AGGACGUCCUUCUGGAACGUUCCCCUCGUCGUCGUCACAGCCUUAGGUUCUGGAGGCAAGUUCCGGGUGUCUCUUUCCACAUUGGAAAGUAUUUGCCCCGACACCUUCAUUCCCACCGGAGGGCCACAAGGGCCACAGUGUGUACGGAGACUGCUCUGCAGGGAUGUCGCCAGGCCCGGAGGUAAAUAGAGAAGAUAAAGAGGAGUAAUGAUGCUGACCGGAUGCUGACCGCCCUGACUCGAACUUCGGAGGAGCCUGGGGCUGGGAAUCACAAGAUGUAGGCUUCCCUUCCAGGUCAGCUUCCAUUGCAGCUGGUCCAGUUACGGCAGGCACCGGCCUGGCCACCUGCCCUGUAGUUUCCCCACAUAUAAAACGGGGCAGAGUCUGCCCUGGCUGAGUGCGAAGCGUGUGGAAGGGAUAAGUUGAUCCGUGUAAGAGGCACUGUGCAAGCGUGUUUACCAUCAUCAGGAUAUCCUGGGUCCUGCCCAUGUCACCUAGGGUUUGAGAAGGAAGUAGUGUCACAGCUAAUGUGCAGAAACAGAACCGGGAGAAGCUCUGGGACCAGCCGGCUCCUUUUCACACUUUGACCCACGAACCGCUUCGGCGAUCCGCCGUGUGAACAUCGCACAGGGUAGAGGUGCAAAAUUGGCCUUGGCCGGGCAGUGGUGAUGCACACCUUUGAUCCCAGCACUUGGGAGGUAGAGGCAGGCAGAUUUCUGAGUUCGAGGUCAGCCUGGUCAACAGAGUGAGUUCCAGGACAGCCAAGGCUACACAGAGAAAACCUGUCUCCAAAAAACCAAAUCCAAAAAAACCAAAACAAAUAAAAAUAAAAAACAAAAGACCUGAGCUCUCCCCUGAAGCUGAUGGGCUUUUGAAGGAAACAGCAAUACUGGUGUGAGGAGAAGAUAGGCAGCAGCUGGAGAGAGCUUUCUAAAGAUGGCUCGGGACCAGCCUCCCUCAGAACAGAAUUAGGAUGCUAGCUGAUCUUAAGGAGCCUUGGGCAAAAAAGAGUAUGACUGUCCCAACUAUGAUGAGCUUAGUCCUUGGAAGAGUUGAAAUGAUGCUA